CCUACGGGAGGCAGCAGUGGGGAAUAUUGCACAAUGGGCGAAAGCCUGAUGCAGCAACGCCGCGUGAGCGAUGAAGGCCUUCGGGUCGUAAAGCUCUGUCCUCAAGGAAGAUAAUGACGGUACUUGAGGAGGAAGCCCCGGCUAACUACGUACCAGCAGCCGCGGUAAUACGUAGGGGGCUAGCGUUAUCUGGAGUUACUGGGCGAAAAGGGUGCGGAGGUGGUUUUUUAAGUCAGAGGUGAAAGGCAGCGGCUCAAGCGUAGUAAGCCUUUGAAACUGGGGAACUUGAGUGCAGGAGAGGAUAGUGGAAUUCCUGGUGUAGCAGUGAAAUGCGUAGAUAUUAGGAGGAACACCAGUUGCGAAGGCGGCUCUCUGGACUGUAACUGACACUGAGGCGCGAAAGCGUGGGGAGCAAACAGGAUUAGAUACCCCGGUAGUC
RNAcentral lists this ribosomal RNA (439 nucleotides) under uncultured bacterium. RNAcentral's name for it is "partial 16S ribosomal RNA". It matches the Rfam family "Bacterial small subunit ribosomal RNA", at positions 338 to 795 of the family's 1533-position model. The record is from RNAcentral.